This 243-nucleotide long non-coding RNA is filed under the name Brassica napus (rape). RNAcentral describes it as "long non-coding RNA (BNAP_LNC021005)". The record is from RNAcentral. Lineage: Eukaryota; Viridiplantae; Streptophyta; Magnoliopsida; Brassicales; Brassicaceae.
GAGAGAGAGCUUCAUAUCCUUCCAAACGAGCCGGAACAACAUGCAUGCAAAGACCGCUCCGAUCAACGCAGCAGCAUCCCAUUGCAGCAACAACCAAGGAGCCUGGAAUCAGAGAUUAUCGAUGUUUGGGGGAUAAAUAUAAAUUAUUAUAUUUAUAUUUAAGAGAAAGAGAUCAAAAUCAAAAGAGAGUGAUGAGAGUUUUGAUACGAAGCUGAGAGAUUAGGAAAGGAAGAAGGAUCGUGG